Molecule: ribosomal RNA, 447 nt
Filed under: uncultured bacterium
Lineage: Bacteria
Description: bacterial SSU rRNA
Rfam family: Bacterial small subunit ribosomal RNA
Source: RNAcentral
GAUGAACGCUGGCGGCGUGCCUAAUACAUGCAAGUCGAACGCUUCACUUCGGUGAAGAGUGGCGAACGGGUGAGUAAUACAUAAGUAACCUGGCAUCUACAGGGGGAUAACUGAUGGAAACGUCAGCUAAGACCGCAUAGGUGUAGAGAUCGCAUGAACUCUAUAUGAAAAGUGCUACGGGACUGGUAGAUGAUGGACUUAUGGCGCAUUAGCUUGUUGGUAGGGUAACGGCCUACCAAGGCGACGAUGCGUAGCCGACCUGAGAGGGUGACCGGCCACACUGGGACUGAGACACGGCCCAGACUCCUACGGGAGGCAGCAGUAGGGAAUUUUCGGCAAUGGGGGAAACCCUGACCGAGCAACGCCGCGUGAAGGAAGAAGUAAUUCGUUAUGUAAACUUCUGUCAUAGAGGAAGAACGGUGGAUAUAGGGAAUGAUAUCCAAGUGA